Molecule: small nucleolar RNA, 70 nt
Filed under: Salvator merianae (Argentine black and white tegu)
Lineage: Eukaryota; Metazoa; Chordata; Lepidosauria; Squamata; Teiidae
Description: Small nucleolar RNA SNORD95 (ENSSMRG00000000703.1)
Source: RNAcentral
GCCGUGAUGAAACACACAAUGCCGUCUGAAAAUUCUUUCAUGUGGAAAACCAGAGGCUGUUUCUGAGCUU